GGGGAAUUUUCCGCAAUGGGCGAAAGCCUGACGGAGCAAUACCGCGUGAGGGAGGAAGGCUCUUGGGUCGUAAACCUCUUUUAUCAGGGAAGAACACAAUGACGGUACCUGAUGAAUCAGCAUCGGCUAACUCCGUGCCAGCAGCCGCGGUAAUACGGAGGAUGCAAGCGUUAUCCGGAAUUAUUGGGCGUAAAGCGUCCGCAGGUGGUUUUGAAAGUUUGCUGUCAAAGCGCGAGGCUCAACUUCGUAUCGGCGGUGAAAACUUCAAGACUAGAGCUAGGUAGGGGUCACGGGAAUUCCCAGUGUAGCGGUGAAAUGCGUAGAUAUUGGGAAGAACACCAGCGGCGAAAGCGCGUGACUGGGCCUGAGCUGACACUCAUGGACGAAAGCUAGGGGAGCGAAAGGGAUUAGAUACCCCUGUAGUCCUAGCCGUAAACGAUGACAACUAGGUGUUGCCCGUAUCGACCCGGGCAGUGCCGUAGCCAACGCGUUAAGUUGUCCGCCUGGGGAGUACGCACGCAAGUGUGAAACUCAAAGGAAUUGACGGGGGCCCGCACAAGCGGUGGAGUAUGUGGUUUAAUUCGAUGCAACGCGAAGAACCUUACCAAGGCUUGACAUGUCGCGAAUCUCUGUGAAAGUAGAGAGUGCCUUCGGGAGCGCGAACACAGGUGGUGCAUGGCUGUCGUCAGCUCGUGUCGUGAGAUGUUGGGUUAAGUCCCGCAACGAGCGCAACCCUCGUUUCUAGUUGCCAUCAUUGAGUUGGGCACUUUAGAGAGACUGCCGGUGACAAACCGGAGGAAGGUGGGGAUGACGUCAAGUCAGCAUGCCCCUUACGCCUUGGGCUACACACGUACUACAAUGCUACGGACAAAGAGCCGCAAGUUCGCGAGGACAAGCAAAUCUCAUAAACCGUGGCUCAGUUCAGAUUGCAGGCUGCAACUCGCCUGCAUGAAGGCGGAAUCGCUAGUAAUCGCAGGUCAGCAUACUGCGGUGAAUACGUUCCCGGGCCUUGUACACACCGCCCGUCACACCAUGGGAGUUGGCCACGCCCGAAGUCGUUACUCCAACCGUUCGCGGAGGAGGAUGCCGAAGGCAGGGCUGAUGACUGGGGUGAAGUCGUAACAAGGUAGCCGUACCGGAAGGUGUGGCUGGAUCACCUCCU
This 1162-nucleotide ribosomal RNA is filed under the name Phormidesmis sp. WJT36-NPBG20. RNAcentral describes it as "bacterial SSU rRNA". It matches the Rfam family "Bacterial small subunit ribosomal RNA", at positions 356 to 1531 of the family's 1533-position model. The record is from RNAcentral. Lineage: Bacteria; Bacillati; Cyanobacteriota; Cyanophyceae; Leptolyngbyales; Leptolyngbyaceae.